RNAcentral lists this microRNA precursor (78 nucleotides) under Schistosoma mattheei. Its description in RNAcentral is "mir-3492 microRNA precursor family". It matches the Rfam family "mir-3492 microRNA precursor family". Lineage: Eukaryota; Metazoa; Platyhelminthes; Trematoda; Strigeidida; Schistosomatidae. The record is from Rfam by way of RNAcentral.
AGGUUUCCGAAUUUGUGCAGAGGUUUCGUCAGACAUCAACAUAUUAGGUCUGAUCAGACUCCCAAGAUAAGUGAAGUU